UAGCAUAUCAAUAAGCGGAGGAAAAGAAACUAACAAGGAUUCCCAUAGUAACUGCGAGUGAAGCGGGAAAAGCUCAAAUUUGAAAUCUGGCAGUCUCUUUUUUCUUCUUUGGCUGUCCGAGUUGUAAUCUAGAGAAGUGCUUACCUGCACUGGACCAUGUAUAAGUCUCCUGGAAUGGAGUGUCGCAGAGGGUGAGAAUCCCGUCUUUGACAUGGACUGCCAGUGUGUUGUGGUGUGCUCUCAAAGAGUCGAGUUGUUUGGGAAUGCAGCUCUAAAUGGGUGGUAAACUCCAUCUAAAGCUAAAUAUUGGCGAGAGACCGAUAGUGAACAAGUACCGUGAGGGAAAGAUGAAAAGGACUUUGGAAAGAGAGUUAAACAGUAUGUGAAAUUGUUGAAAGGGAAACGCUUGAAGUCAGUUAUGUUGGCUAGGGAUCAACCUGGCUAUCUAUUGCUUGGUGAAUUUCCUAGUCUGACAGGCCAACAUCAGUCUUGGCUGCUAGAAAAGAGCAGAGGGAAUGUGGCACCUUUAGGUGUGUUUAUAGCCCUUUGUCAUAUGUGGCAGUUGGGACUGAGGGAUGCAGCGUGCCGCAAGGCUGGGUUUUAGACCACGUUUGCGCUUAGGAUGUUGGCUUUUAAUGGCUUCAAUCGACCCGUCUUGAAACACGGACCAAGGAGUCUAACAUGCCUGCGAGUGUUUGGGUGGGGAAAACCCUUGUGCACAAUGAAAGUGAAAGUUGAGAUCCCUGUCAUGGGGAGCAUCGAUGCCCGGACCUGAGCUUUCAGCAAAGGAUCUGCGGUAGAGCAUGCAUGUUGGGACCCGAAAGAUGGUGAACUAUGCCUGAAUAGGGCAAAGCCAGAGGAAACUCUGGUGGAGGCUCGUAGCGAUUCUGACGUGCAAAUCGAUCGUCAAAUUUGGGUAUAUGGGCGAAAGACUAAUCGAACCAUCUAGUAGCUGGUUCCUGCGACUCC
This 969-nucleotide ribosomal RNA is filed under the name Amanita sp. Its description in RNAcentral is "partial large subunit ribosomal RNA". It matches the Rfam family "Eukaryotic large subunit ribosomal RNA", at positions 36 to 971 of the family's 3401-position model. Lineage: Eukaryota; Fungi; Basidiomycota; Agaricomycetes; Agaricales; Amanitaceae. The record is from RNAcentral.